Non-coding RNA from Mastomys coucha (southern multimammate mouse), 728 nucleotides. The record is from the annotation of a RefSeq genome assembly. NCBI's taxonomy places the organism in Eukaryota, Metazoa, Chordata, Mammalia, Rodentia, Muridae.
UUUCCUUCUGCUACACAGAAAGUUAGUCAGUGGGCUUCCGGCUUUGUUGAAUCUAUGCCAUGAACCUCAGUUUACUAUGCAGUGUGGCAUUUUGUUUCCUGCAGACAGGUCCAGUGAGUGCUGGUGUCAUUCAGACUCCAAAAUCAUUGAUUCUAAAGGCAGGACAACAUGUAACAAUCAGAUGUACUCAGAAUAUGAAGCAUGACGCCAUGUUCUGGUACCGUCAGGAUCCAUCGUUGGGACUAAAGGUAAUCUACUAUUCAUAUGAUGUUGGCGUCAUCUCCAAAGGAGAAGUCUCUGAGGGGUACAAUGUCUCCAGAUCAAGCACAGAGGACUUCACCCUCACUGUGGAAUUGGCCUCUCCCUCCCAGACAUCUGUGUACUUCUGUGCCAGCAGUUAUACCACAGAGCUGUGUGGCUGCCUCCUCUCUGCACAUAAAGAUACAUAUAGAGAAGAGGCACCCACCCCGGGAACUCAGUGGCACAUUGGAGUUCUCAACACUGGAACCUGGGAGCUAUGAAUAUUCUGGGCAGUAUUCACCUCGGGUCUCUUCUGAGGGGCAUCUUUUGGAGAUGGUAGAAUCACCCAGACACCUAGAUACUGGAUCACACAGACCACAAGAAAGGUGGUCCUGGAAUGCUCUCAGAAUAUGGACCACUAUUGGAUGUUCUGGUAUCGACAAGAUGCAGGACAAGGGUUGAAACUGAUCCAUUACUCAGCAAGCAUU